This 371-nucleotide ribosomal RNA is filed under the name uncultured organism. Its description in RNAcentral is "bacterial SSU rRNA". It matches the Rfam family "Bacterial small subunit ribosomal RNA", at positions 526 to 896 of the family's 1533-position model. The record is from RNAcentral.
CGUAGGGUGCGAGCGUUAAUCGGAAUUACUGGGCGUAAAGCGUGCGCAGGCGGUUUUGUAAGACAGGCGUGAAAUCCCCGGGCUCAACCUGGGAACUGCGCUUGUGACUGCAGGGCUAGAGUACGGCAGAGGGGGUGGAAUUCCACGUGUAGCAGUGAAAUGCGUAGAGAUGUGGAGGAACACCAAUGGCGAAGGCAGCCCCCUGGGUCGAUACUGACGCUCAUGCACGAAAGCGUGGGUAGCAAACAGGAUUAGAUACCCUGGUAGUCCACGCCCUAAACGAUGUCAACUAGGUGUUGGGUGGGUAAAACCAUUUAGUACCGGAGCUAACGCGUGAAGUUGACCGCCUGGGGAGUACGGCCGCAAGGUUA